Long non-coding RNA from Cotesia glomerata, 1182 nucleotides. RefSeq lists it as uncharacterized. Lineage: Eukaryota; Metazoa; Arthropoda; Insecta; Hymenoptera; Braconidae. The record is from RefSeq and is a predicted model, not a curated record. The transcript has 3 exons.
CUUACUACUUUGUGAUAGUUAUAAGACUCAUAACCUAUAUAUUUAUGCUCUAUCUUGUAUGUUGAUGAUAUUAUUUAUUAUUGUAAUCAGAGGAAUAUAAUGGAUAAUAUAAAUAAUAUUUUAAUGGACGAAGUUCUUUAUGAUCCCUUUGAAGAUAUUAAUAAUUUAGUUCAUCAAUUUUCAUUAAACGGCUUUAAUAACAUUAUGAACGAAGCGGAAGCCUUAAUCUUGGAGUUUGCCGGGAAUGGUGUUGAAAUGCAUCCACGUAAUGAUGCCCCAGCUAGAAUAUUAAAUUAUUAUGAAGAAGUUGUACCAAAUUAUACCGAUUAUGAAUUUUAUUCCCACUUUCGAAUGUCACGAAAAUCUGUAGAGGUAAGCAAAAAAUUAUGCUAGUCUGAAUUUAAAGUUUAUCACUUGUAAUUUGUUCAUAUGAGCUAGAAAAUAUCAUUCGGCCACAUAUUCCUAACAUUGAUGACGAUGAUCAUGAUGAUAAUGAUAAUAUUAAUCUCAUUCCCUUGAAAAAAAAAAAUUUUAUUAACAAUUUGGAUUUUAGCUACUCCUGAUAGUUAUCGCUCAGUUGCUGAUAGAUUUGGAUUACCUAAGUCUACUGCUCACUUGAUAUUUUAAGUAAUUAUCGAUAGACUGACAUAAUCUCUUGCCCCAGUUCGUUCGUUGACCUGAUGCAAAUGGAUGCGAAGUUAUUGAAGCUGGCUUUCUUUCGAAGCCACAGGGGUUUCCCGGAAUUAUUGGAGCAAUUGAUGGAUGUCAUAUUGAAAUUUUGCAACCACCAGGUAACACUAACGAUUAUUAUAAUCGAAAAUAGAAACAUUCCAUAAUAUUACAAGGUAUUAUGAGUAUUUAAAUAUAUAUAAAUCUAUGUUAACAUAAAACGUUAAGAUGGAGCAUUUAUGAUAUCUUUCAUAUCUCACCAAAUAUUUAUAAACUAUUUUAUAUCAUAUUCUACAGGUAUAUGUGAUGAUAAGGGAAAAUUUAUAGACGUUCUAAUUGGAAGACCAGGGAGAGCACACGAUGCGUCUGUUUUUAGAUCUUCUACUUUAUUCACCCGGCUAACAGAUGCUGAAAAUCCCCUAUUACAGCCUAACCAGCAUAUACUAGGUGAUGCUACGUAUCCAUUAAUGAUGAAUCUUUUAACGCCUUUUAAAGACAAUGGUCAUCUCACUA